RNAcentral lists this ribosomal RNA (569 nucleotides) under uncultured bacterium. Its description in RNAcentral is "bacterial SSU rRNA". It matches the Rfam family "Bacterial small subunit ribosomal RNA", at positions 1 to 527 of the family's 1533-position model. The record is from RNAcentral.
UAGAGUUUGAUCAUGGCUCAGAGUGAACGCUGGCGGCGUAGAUUAGGCAUGCAAGUCGAGCGAUACUUUUUUCUUGAGAUGGUGAAGCCGCAAGGCUGAUCUGUUGAGAGAAGGAAGAUAUAGCGGCAGAUUGGUGAGUAACACGUGAGUAAUUUACCUCUAAGUCGGGAAUAGCCUUGCGAAAGUGAGGGUAAUGCCCGAUGUGUUUGCGGCUGCAUAAGCAGCUGCAAGUAAAGAAGGCUCGCAAGAGUUUUUGUUUAGAGAUGAGCUCGCGUCCUAUCAGCUAGUUGGCAGGGUAAUGGCCUACCAAGGCUUUUGACGGGUAGCUGGCCUGAGAGGGUGGUCAGCCACAUGGGGACUGAGAUACUGCCCCAACUCCUACGGGAGGCUGCAGUCGAGGAUAUUUAGCAAUGGGCGAAAGCCUGACUAUGUGACGCCGCGUGAGGGAUGAAGGUCUUCGGAUUGUAAACCUCUCUCGAUAGGGAAGAAAACCUGUUCUUAACGGAACAGACUGACGGUACCUAGAGAAGAAGCCACGGCCAACUCUGUGCCAGCAGCCGCGGAAUUCA